GUGUCAGCCGCCGCGGUAAUACGUAGGGUGCGAGCGUUAAUCGGAAUUACUGGGCGUAAAGCGUGCGCAGGCGGUUUUGUAAGACAGGCGUGAAAUCCCCGGGCUCAACCUGGGAACUGCGCUUGUGACUGCAAGGCUAGAUUACGGCAGAGGGGGGUGGAAUUCCACGUGUAGCAGUGAAAUGCGUAGAUAUGCGGAGGAACACCGAUGGCGAAGGCAAUCCCCUGGGCCUGCACGGACGCUCAUGCGCGAAAGCGUGGGGAGCAAACAGGAUUAGAUACCCGGGUAUGCCACACCGUAA
This 301-nucleotide ribosomal RNA is filed under the name uncultured bacterium. RNAcentral's name for it is "bacterial SSU rRNA". It matches the Rfam family "Bacterial small subunit ribosomal RNA", at positions 505 to 805 of the family's 1533-position model. The record is from RNAcentral.